This 1882-nucleotide unclassified non-coding RNA is filed under the name Priapulus caudatus. RNAcentral describes it as "pentalenolactone F synthase-like, transcript variant X3". The record is from RNAcentral. Lineage: Eukaryota; Metazoa; Priapulida; Priapulimorpha; Priapulimorphida; Priapulidae.
CAUAACGAAACUCUGGUUCCCUGACUCCAUGGUUGAGGCCUGAGAUUGGGCCUACAGUAGUACAGUACGUAAGUUGAUUUUUACCUGACCUGGGAGUGGGUGUUUAGAAAGAGUUCAGGAGUCCGUGUAUGUCGUUUAUGCGACGCAUAUUCUCUCGUGUUACCAGCGCCAGAAUGUCGACAACAACAGCACCCUACAGUCUGGAGCCAUUAAAAUUGGGAGCUGUGGCCAGAGGCUUAAAUCUGAAGGACAACGUUUCUCCGGAGGUUAUAGCGCAGAUCAAGCAAGAUGUCACAAAGCACCACAUACUUAUCUUUAAAGAUCAGGGUGUAAUAAGUGGGGAUAGGCAUGUAGAAAUCAGCCAGUGGUUUGGAGAGCUAGAAAGCACCUUCUACAAGCAUCCAAAGUCUCCGCAUCCCGAUGUGUUUCGGGUGUCAAACGAUAAAACAGAAGGCUGCACGGGAGUUGGGAGGACGGGCUGGCACAUCGACGGCAGUUUUCAGCCCGCUCCAUUCGCAUACGCUCUCUAUCACAUGGUCUCGGUUCCCCAGAAUGGAGGAAACACGGAGUAUGUAGAUCUGCAUGCAUUGGUUAAGAGCCUCGGCAAAGAUCAGAGAAGGAGGUGGGAUCAAUUAUGGAUGGUCAGCGAUAGGCGUUCCACGAGCCCUCGUCCUCUCAUCUUCUCUCACCCGAUCACAAAACAAAAGACUCUGUGCUUUCACCUGGGCAUGACAGAGGCAUUCAUAUGGGACAAGGGAACGCAGCAGGAGCGAUACACCAACCUCAAAGAGACGGGAGAGAUACUCGAUGAGAUAUAUCGUGAGAUUGUGAAAAACGAUGGAGAGUUGAUCUACUCACACAAGUGGGAGGUUGGAGAUUUUAUCAUGUCCGACAACUUGUCUGUUGGCCAUGAGGCAAGUCCGUCUACACAGCAUCAUAGGAACAGCAUCGGGCUAAGAGUGCUUCAUCGCACAACUGUAAAAGGCAUUCACUCACCAACCAAGGAGUACGACCCAGAUACAGAGGAUUAGGUGUAGAUCCAGCGUCUAUCUAUGAUGCAGGUCAUAUGUCAUGUCAAUGUGAUGACAUGUCACAGAUCAAUGUCAUGACAUAUCACAGAUCACAGAUCAAUGUCAUGACAGAUCACAGAUCAAUGUCAUGACAGAUCACAGAUCAAUGUCAUGACAGAUCACAGAUCAAUGUCAUGACACAUCACAGAUCACAGAGUCAAUGUUGCGCAUAACAGACAAUACAGUGUGAUUUUUUAUGCUUGUGGUCUUGCCAAUAUUUUGCGAUGUUUACCUGCUGUUAUGAAUUACAGAAUGUGAUUAAGUUUUACUACAUUUUAUAACCAACUUGUAUCAAGUAUAAAUUUUAUACGAUUUGAUUAUGAUUUCCGAUGAUCAUGACCUAUAUGUAACAAGAUUGGGGUUAUUUAACUAUGUUAUACGACAUGUGAUACUAGUGAUAUGUAAAGUAUAUAUUAACGCUGUUAAGUUUUAAUGUGCUGUCAUUUUGUUUAAUGACAUUUCACAGUAGCAAUCUGUAGAUAAGAUUUCUCAAGACAGUUGAUAGAUGGUGGAAAAUAUAUUGUAAGCAAGUUAGACAUUUAAGCUGUGCAGAUAUUAGACAUGUUUAAGUAUAACACUCCUGCUUUGCAAGCAUUUCAACUACAAUCUGAAUAACGUAAAUGUGCAGCUGUUCUGUUUUACAUGCUCGUGUUGUGAUGUGUGUGGCAACUACCUAAAAAAGCUAAAAGUAAAAUAUACCAGAAAUAUGAUGUUUGUACUUCUACGCUUUAAGCGAACAGUAAAAUGUAAUGUAAAUGUAGUACCAACUAUAAAAAAUCCGACUAUCAUUAAAACUCCCGACUAAAACUUUA